Pocillopora damicornis (cauliflower coral) is the source of this 1150-nucleotide long non-coding RNA. RefSeq lists it as uncharacterized. NCBI's taxonomy places the organism in Eukaryota, Metazoa, Cnidaria, Anthozoa, Scleractinia, Pocilloporidae. The record is from RefSeq and is a predicted model, not a curated record.
UAAUUUCGCCAAAGCAUGAGGAGAAAUGAAAUUUUCAAUACUGAGAGGACAUAACGUCGGUUAACUCUGGGAGUAAAGAACCCUCGUAUGCAAGCAACCGAACAAUGCCAUGACUGCAAACAAAAAACAGUCUUACGACUAAUGGCUUUCAGAAGAUUACAACAAAUUAGUCGGGAAGUUAUAAGAGCGGGGUAAGAUACGGAGUUUUCAGACAAAGAAGGAGGGGGAGAUGUUUUAAAACAGAGUAACAAUUUAGCGAGGAGUUCGAAGCCCGAGCCAAACUUGCACAAGAUAAUAAAAUUUACAAAGGAAAACUGUAAAGAAUAUAGGCAAAUUUAUUUCGAGUUUUCCUGUAAUGGAUGUACUUGAGGGACCCAAGAGGUUUGGAACGGAAAAUUCAAGGCUCCCAAAUGUUUCAAAUGUGAAACCUAGUGGGUGAUAAUAGUUGCAGAACUGUAAGCAUUGAAUAAGGUGCAACUGUUUUACAGUGAUUUGUUUCAUCUCACAGUAGAAUGGUGUUCCUUCCAUUAUUCAAAUCAACGUUUUCAGUGUUCGAGAAGCAAGCCCAUCUCUGCUGAAUUUUCCAACCAAGUUAAGCUAAAAGCUUCCAUCUGGAAGUGUGGCCUCUUUGUCAACGACAGUAAAAGUGUUCAGUUGAAAACCUUCGUAAGUGCUGAAAAAUGGGAAAAAGGGGCUACAUGAUAUAGGUCAAGACUACAAAAGGUGAAUAAGGCAGUCAAAUCAUAUCUGAAGUCUCAAUUAUGUUUGCUAGUCUUGAAUGUAUUGAAGGAUAAUUUUUUAUCGAACGACUACAGAAGGUCGACCGAUGUAUUAUUUUCUCAUGGCUUCAUAAGGAAGGCUGGAACUUGAUAAAUAUCUGCUAAAAGCAAUCGUAGAAAUGGACCACUAGUGAAGUCUGUCCACGAUGCAGUUAGCCAUUAUUUUUACUCUUCAAGCUAAAUCUGCAAUUCUUCACAGAGCAUGCUUUUUUUUAUAUUUAGGAAGCUGGCUAUAUAUCAUUGGUGCUACAGAGUUUGGUAGUCGAGGAGAGCUCUUGUAGUGGCAACUAUGUUAUGGCUAUUUUAGCCUUGUAUAACUUAGAAACACAUUAAUUGUGUUGAUAACAUUAAAGGACUACAGCAAACAGAAA